Molecule: ribosomal RNA, 405 nt
Filed under: Triticum aestivum (bread wheat)
Lineage: Eukaryota; Viridiplantae; Streptophyta; Magnoliopsida; Poales; Poaceae
Description: partial small subunit ribosomal RNA
Source: RNAcentral
ACGGACCAUCGCAAGUACCUCGUUGUGGCGCCGGCGGGACAGUUGAUGGUCGUGCUCAAGGAGACCACGGGUCGACGGACGUCGCCCUCCUUCAAGGUGCAGGUCCUCGACGCCGGUAGGGAGGGGUGGGAGGAGACAGACGACAUCGGCAACACUGCAUUGUUGGUCGCGGUUAACGGUUCCCUCUGCGUGUCCACGAUGGAGCACCCGGAGCUCAAGGCCGGCUGCGUCUACUACUACACCGAUGAUGAGGAUGAUCUGCGGCCGUGCAAGGAUGCACGCAAGGACGAGGAGAAUGGCAUCAGGGUGUUCAGCCUCAAGGACCGCAGAACAGAGAUGGCGGGGGGCCUCAGAUGGCGCCGGAGCUGGCCGCCCCCGGCGUGGUUCAUUCCUUCCAUCCCAUGA